Small nuclear RNA from Suncus etruscus (white-toothed pygmy shrew), 160 nucleotides. RefSeq annotates it as U1 spliceosomal RNA. The record is from RefSeq and is a predicted model, not a curated record. The transcript has a single exon. Lineage: Eukaryota; Metazoa; Chordata; Mammalia; Eulipotyphla; Soricidae.
AUAUUUACCUGGCAGGGGAGAUGCCAUGAUCACAUGGUUUUCCCAGGGUGAGGCUCAUCCAUUGCACUUCGGAUGUGCUGACCCCUGUGAUUUCCCCAAAUGUGAGAAACUGCAUAAUUUGUGGCAAUGGGGGACUACAUUCACACCACACUCUUCCCUG